Molecule: unclassified non-coding RNA, 17 nt
Filed under: Saccharolobus solfataricus
Lineage: Archaea; Thermoproteati; Thermoproteota; Thermoprotei; Sulfolobales; Sulfolobaceae
Source: RNAcentral
AUUCAGGUUCGCCCUCG